CCACCCUGUAAUGGGCUGAGAGACACCCUGUGGGUGGUGUUCUUAUCUCAGUCAGGGGCAGAGCAAAUGGCAGUCCUUUGUUCCUCCUAGCUUGGUGUCCGGCUUGGUGGCCAAAGCUGUCUUAUGCCUAGGACUCAUAA
Rattus norvegicus (Norway rat) is the source of this 140-nucleotide small nucleolar RNA. Ensembl annotates it as small nucleolar RNA SNORA48. NCBI's taxonomy places the organism in Eukaryota, Metazoa, Chordata, Mammalia, Rodentia, Muridae. The record is from Ensembl.